This 417-nucleotide ribosomal RNA is filed under the name Rugathodes sp. MAA-2007. RNAcentral's name for it is "partial 16S ribosomal RNA". The record is from RNAcentral. Lineage: Eukaryota; Metazoa; Arthropoda; Arachnida; Araneae; Theridiidae.
GCUCAUGAAACUUUAAAUAGCCGCAGUUUCCUGUGCUAAGGUAGCAUAAUCAUUUGUUUUUUAAUUAAAAACUAGAAUGAAAGGUUUAACAUUUAAAUUUGUAUAUUUAUAAUAUUAUUUAAUUUUUAUUAAAUAUAAAAAUAUAUUUAUUUAAUAAAAAGACGACAAGACCCUAUUGAACUUUACUUUUGUUUAACUGGGGCAGUUAAUUAAUUAUAAUUUUAAUUAUAUAUAUAUAUAUAUAUAUAUAUAAAUAACCAAUAAAAUUGAAUAUAAAAAGUUACCAUAGGGAUAACAGCGUAAUAUUAUUUUAAAGUUCUUAUUUAAAUUAAUGUUUGCGACCUCGAUGUUGAAUUAUUAUUCUUUAUAUGUGCAGUAAUUUAUAAAGUAGGUCUGUUCGACCUUUAAUAUAUUACA